CUGGGAUUACAGGUGUGAGCCACCAUACCUGGCCACACUGAAUAUUUUCUGACAGAUAAAGUUUAUUUACACCUCUGUAGAACCUAGGUUUUAUUCAACUACCCAAGUCAACAAUGAGAACUAUUUCUUGCUGUUUGGUCUAGUACAUUGAAUCCAGAAUCUCUGGGAUGUGAGCCUACAAUGAUAAAUGGGUUGAUUUAUAAUUGAUUGAUUGAUUGAUAAAUACAUUGGUCUAUAAUUAUGCUUUUCCCUCCUUGGUAGAGCUUCCUCAGAAUUCAUUUCCCUGUAGAUUUUGCUCAUAAGAAUUUAGCAAAGUCCUGUUACUCUUUUCUUAUGCCAGCUUUCUCCACCUAGGUUUGCCUUUGUAAUUUCUCAGGCACCAACUCCUCCAUCACACACACUCAAUCCAUGCAUUCCCAUUCCAGACCUAGAGCUGUCACUAGAGAGGGUGAGCACAAAGGAAACAACAGCUUCUUACAAGGCAACUCCCUCAGGCAAAGGCACCAUGCAACAAAUUCCCCUUACUUUCCCAAUUUCCACAAUCAUUAUAGAAAUAUUUUUUUUCAUAUUUUUUAUAGAACUUUCAGGUGUUUUGAAUUGGGAGGAUUACUGUGCACUGUGAAACCACUAUAUCCCUGGAAACCUCUCCAGCAACAACUGAUGCUGGUGAUAACACUCCUAUUUAGAAAUCCUCCUUCUAUGUUUCUAUGUCUUCAUUCUUCUAAUUUUGCAUCUUUGUCCAGUUUCUGACUGUUCCUCACUAUUCCAAAAUGAAUUUUGUUCUCUUUCUUCUUCUCUCUUCUAUUUCUACAGUUUGAGCUACAAUCAAUCGAUUAUUUUCAUCAAUACAUCCCUAGGCUUUACCUCUCUUUACAUCUCAAAAUCGCCUCUGCAACAUCAUAUGUCCAAGACAGAACUCCCCUUCCUCCUGCAUAACUCACCAUAGCUCAGCUGAACUAACUAAAAAAUCCAAGAACUGAAAGAAGACAGAACAAGAGAAAGAGGAUACAACAAUUAGAUGCCAGUCGUGUUCUUGAGAGGAUAUUCUAGGUAGGCCUAGCCUUUCCAUUCUUUGGCUAAAUGAUAUGGUUGGAUAAUUGUCCCCUCCAAAUCUCAUUUUGAAAUGUGAUCCCCAAUGUUAGAGGUGGGCCUAGUGGGAGGGGGUGUUUGGGUUAGGAAGGCAGGUCCCUUAGGAAGGUCUUGGUGCUGUCCUCAGGGUAAUGAAUGAUUUAUCAUUCUACGAGUUCACAGGAGACCUGUUUGUUUAAAGGAGCCUGGCACCUCCUCCCUCGUUCUCUCACUCCCUCUCUCACAAUGUGAUACUCCAGGUCCCCCAUCGCCUUCCACCAUGAGUGGAAGCUUCCUGAGACCCUCACCAGAAGCCACGCAGAUGUUGGUGACAUGCUUGUACAGGCUGCAGAACCAUGAGCCAAAAUAAACCUCUUCUCCUUAUAAAUUAUCCAGUCUUAGGUAUUCCUUUAUAGCAGUGCAAAUGGACUAAAUACGCUAAGUCAGAGAGAGGAGGGGGCAGAAAUGACAAAAACCUCGGGAGAGAUGUUUGGGAGACUGAGAGUAGAGGAAAUCUGUGCCCCAUGCCCAGUAGAACUCUGAAAAUUGGCAAGAUCCCAGGGUUCUCAACCUCACAUACAAAAAGCAUAGAGUACUUAUACAGCAGGGCAGUAACAAAUCUGGAACAAAGGACUUAGCGGUUUCAUGGAAGGCCUGUGUAUCCACGCAGUAUCAAGCAAGAGAAUGAUGUCAUUGUACCAGGGAGAAGCCAACCACAUGGACAGCAUGGACAACCUCUGUACAGAGACAGAAUUCUUAUGGUUGGAACCAGGAAAACACAGCAAUUACCUGGGUAAAAUGACUCAAGACUGAUGGGAAUGAGAAUGGCUCAGCUGAUGCAGGUGUGGUUAAAUGACACAGACCCACAGAACAUAUGGCUCCACUCAGUACCUGAAUAUUGCAAAGCCAUGUUGCCUUCUCCCAAACACCCUUCCUCCUCCCAUAAAUGCAACCUAGGCGGGGUGGGGAAGAGUGCUAUGUGCAUGAAGAUGAACUGUCUGUUACCUAGCAGAGUGAGGACCCCAAACAGAAAUUAAACCCAGAGACAGAAAUAAUGAAAACAGUCUUUUCUUAACUGCCUGAUUUUGUGCAUGAGAUUCAUAUCUGCAUAUGUGCAUUGUGUAUAUAUGUAUGUAUUGUUUUCAUUCAUUAUAUUACUGAUGCAGUUAUAACUAUUGUGAUGAA
RNAcentral lists this long non-coding RNA (2253 nucleotides) under Homo sapiens (human). RNAcentral's name for it is "HSALNT0199860". Lineage: Eukaryota; Metazoa; Chordata; Mammalia; Primates; Hominidae. The record is from RNAcentral.